Long non-coding RNA from Lolium rigidum, 1209 nucleotides. RefSeq lists it as uncharacterized. The transcript is spliced from 4 exons. Lineage: Eukaryota; Viridiplantae; Streptophyta; Magnoliopsida; Poales; Poaceae. The record is from RefSeq and is a predicted model, not a curated record.
UCCGACCAUCGCCGACCGCCUCCGCCACUGCGGAUCGCCGGCCCAUCUCCACGCGGGUCUUCUCCCUAGAUUCCCCGCAGCCGUGACGCUUCUCUCCUCCCGUGCGCGCCCCCACGGAAAACCCUAGUCGUGCGGCUCAGGGUUCGCCGGCGCGGCCGCGUCCCCUUCCCCGCAUCUUCGGCUGCUCCCCUCGUCAACGACCCCGCUCCGUCCUCCGAUUCCAUGGCUCCUCCAGCCCGACGCCUACGACCACGUCCAGGUUCUCUGCGUCGACCACGUGCUGCUCUGCCUCCGGAUCCCCUCCGUCGAGCACCUCCUGCUCCGUAGAUUGAUCCAGGGCCGGCAUCGGCAUCAUCGGCCGCUUCCUGCUCUGCCUCCGGAUCCCCUCCGUCGAGCACCUCCUGCUCCGUCGCCAGCGCCCCUCCGCCGCCAAGGCCCAACACUGACAGCGGCCGAUGCAUGCCCAGAAGUAGCAGUCCUAGGUUGGGAUCGGAGGUGGUCAACUGAAAUUGAACCGGCGUCCUGCGGGGGCUACCACAACGCCUGCGAACUGGCAUCUAGCCCCUUGCAAUUUUGCGUCAGGUUGCAGUUUGGGUAAUUCCCAUGGAGAUACCAAUAGUCAAUUCCAAAAGAUAGGGACCAUGACAUCUAGGGCCUCCUCGUCGACAACCAGCGUUUUCCCAUCGAGCAUCGCCGACCAGACUGCGUGCAUGAAGGUCGAGGUGCACACCGUCGCCGGCGAGCGAGGAGGUCGAGCAGAUCCUCGCCGACGUGCGGGUGCUCGCUGGCGUGUGCAUCACAUCGUCACCGAGCCUCGCUGGUGGUGGCGCACGGCGUUGUGAUCCGCGAAUCAGCCCACGAGCGCCGUCCGUUUCCAUCGACGAUGAAUGGCAUGCAUCAUCUGCAGGUCCUCGCCGACGUGCAGGUGCUGGCUGUGCGUCCUCAGCGAGCAGCUAGGGCGUACUCAGUCCGAGUCGGCCAAAGCCGACAACAUCCGUAUCCAGGGAUAUCGAGAAGGGCAGGUAACCCGUCUGUUUAAUUCCUUAGAAUCAAAGGGCAGGCUCCGGUACUACUCUUGUUCAAAUUGAGACCAAAACCCUACUACCAGUUCAUGUCAUGAUUCAGUUUUAGCGCUGAGAUUCUAUUUUUGGAAAAUUUGUGUGGAUGUUGUGAAUGCACUUGAAGUAUUAAAUCACAUGGUUAGCAUAG